UCUUCAUUUAACGUAUAAGAUCCCACUCUGGAUGCCACAAAAAUGCAUACCUUUUUCAAAAAUUCGGGUUAUAUGGUAAACAACAGGAAGUGAUACUGAGGUCCCCUUUGAACAGUUGCAUGAAAAUGUACACACAAAAGCAAAGGUUGGGUUCUUGGUGGACCCCGUAUCGAUAAAAAAGAAACAAGGUAUAAGAAAGUAAGAAACCAUACUUUCACAGAAUAUUACAUUCUUCACUUAUAUUUUUCUCACUCAACAAAUAGCUUACUUCUAGUAGUGCCCUCCCUUGAACAAAAACCUGUAGGCCAAUAUCUCACUUACAUUGAUUCUUCUCUUCUGCUCCUAUCUUGAGUUGCUGCACAUGGUCCCCUUUGGUCCACAAAUUUGUGUCGUGGUAAAUAUUUGAAGUGGUAGAACAGGGAGAACCAGUCAUGGUUGGAAGUGGCAGGAUUUCGGGUGAUCUAUUGCGAUAUGUUUUCUUGUUGGGGUUUCUGUGUUUACUAUGUUUUGGGUUGUUGAGCAAUCAACCGAGAAGAUUGGCUUUAAGUAGUGUUGCAUCAAGUAAAAGUUUCGAGCUUUUAGGGAAACAGAGGAUUGCUGUUCAUCAUGCUUCUCAUAUACAUUUUGUGAGCAAGAGAAGAGUGCCUAAUGGUCCUGAUCCUAUCCACAACAGAAGAGCAGGGAAGUCUACGCGUCCACCUGUUCGAGAUUGAGCUCUCAGGUCAGAUACAUGCAGAAGUUACAGAAGCUCACCAACUUAGAAAGGCUUCUUCUAGUAUCAUUUGUAAAGGUUUGAAAUGAAAAUUUUUACCCCACAUUUUGUGAAUGAAAUGGAAUCUGCUGUUUGCAACU
RNA transcript from Daucus carota subsp. sativus, 852 nucleotides. RefSeq lists it as uncharacterized. Lineage: Eukaryota; Viridiplantae; Streptophyta; Magnoliopsida; Apiales; Apiaceae. The record is from RefSeq and is a predicted model, not a curated record. The transcript is spliced from 2 exons.